AUACGUAGGUGACAAGCGUUAUCCGGAUUUACUGGGCGUAAAGGGCGUGUAGGCGGUCUUGCAAGUCAGAAGUGAAAUUCCUGAGCUCAACUCGGGCGCUGCUUCUGAAACUGCAGGACUUGAGUGCUGGAGGGGAUAGCGGAAUUCCUAGUGGAGCGGUAAAAUGCGCAGAUAUUAGGAAGAACACCGGUGGCGAAGGCGGAUAUCUGGACAGUAACUGACGCUGAGGCGCGAAAGCGUGGGGAGCGAACAGGAUUAGAUACCCUGGUAGUCCACGCGGUAAACGAUGAAUGCUAGGUGUUGCGGGUAUCGACCCCUGCAGUGCCGGAGGAAACACAAUAAGCAUUCCGCCUGGGGAGUACGGCCGCAAGGUUGAAACUCAAAUGAAUUGACGGGG
This 397-nucleotide ribosomal RNA is filed under the name uncultured bacterium. Its description in RNAcentral is "partial 16S ribosomal RNA". It matches the Rfam family "Bacterial small subunit ribosomal RNA", at positions 523 to 918 of the family's 1533-position model. The record is from RNAcentral.